AUUGAACGCUGGCGGCAUGCCUUACACAUGCAAGUCGAACGGUAACAGGUCUUCGGAUGCUGACGAGUGGCGAACGGGUGAGUAAUACAUCGGAACGUGCCUAGUAGUGGGGGAUAACUACUCGAAAGAGUGGCUAAUACCGCAUGAGAUCUACGGACGAAAGCAGGGGAUCGAAAGACCUUGUGCUACUAGAGCGGCCGAUGGCAGAUUAGGGAGUUGGGGGGAUAAAAGAUUACCAAGCCGACGAUCUGUAGCUGGUCUGAGAGGACGAUCAGCCACACUGGGACUGAGACACGGCCCAGACUCCUACGGGAGGCAGCAGUGGGGAAUUUUGGACAAUGGGCGAAAGCCUGAUCCAGCAAUGCCGCGUGCAGGAUGAAGGCCUUCGGGUUGUAAACUGCUUUUGUACGGAACGAAAAGCCCCGGGUUAAUACCCUGGGGUCAUGACGGUACCGUAAGAAUAAGCACCGGCUAACUACGUGCCAGCCGCUGCGGUAA
Molecule: ribosomal RNA, 498 nt
Filed under: uncultured bacterium
Lineage: Bacteria
Description: partial 16S ribosomal RNA
Rfam family: Bacterial small subunit ribosomal RNA
Source: RNAcentral